ACAGUGUUGGUGAAGGCCGUGGGUGUGCUAGAAACAAAAGUCGUGACUCGUCUUUGUGGAAAAGUAAAGCUGCAGAAGGUACAAUUACGCCACUAUGACGCCACCGUCUUACACCUGUCAGUAAUACUUCUUCUGUCUAGUAUGAUAAUUAUUUUCAGAGCUGCAUGUACCCGCGGGGGUUCCUCCAGCACUACUGCCUAGCCCCCUGCCAUACGCUGGGUGGUUUACUCUGUUCCUCUCCGGGGUUGAUGCUACACACAUAGACUGGGCAGCCCAGGUGUCUCAACAACUACAGCCAGUUAACUGGGACUAUGACUCGCUGGUGUUCCCCCGUUGUCUGCUGAGUGACCAAGAACUGGGUGUGUUGGCCAGCCAGCUGAGACGUAAUCACGUGCGGCCGACAAAACUUGUUGUGCCGGGAGACAAGGACGAGACCUUCACUCUGUCCGGAUACACAGUCCUGAGAGUGACGGGUGACGGUAUAUGAUACUUCCCGUAGGUGUAAGGGUAAGAGUGAGGCCUUUAUGGUGGUGUUACUGUAGGCAGGUUAACAUUACUUUGUUUUAUUAUUGACCUGUGUUAGUAAAUUAGUUUACUGUUCCUGGGUUAGUGGCACACUUAUCAAUGUUAACUAUCCAUACUUCUAUUCAAGAGUUAUGGUAUACAAACAAUGCCACAACUAAUAAUGUAAGUACAACAGUGGUAUGUGGGCUGUAAUGCCACAUGAAUACUAUACUAAAUCUUACUGUUACAUUGUUACAACACGUCUUCUCUUUUGUCUCCAACAUACAAUACUGUACACAUGUUCCACCCCAGACAACACAUAUGUGCACCCAAGAACCGUCUGGCCAGUUAUAUAUGGGACCAAACAAUGUCUCUUGGUGUGCUCUUAUGUAUGAAUGUAAUGGGGCCCAAAUAUAAUAUUAAGGAGCCCAUCUGGACAAGUGUCCGCCCGGAUAUAACCAAAUGUGUGAUGUUGGGAGAACAUUAAUUUACCACUACCUUGUAUUUACCUUGAAGUGUUAGUUUUAUAAACUGUUUUUGGUGAAACAAUUGAACAAGAGAGAAUGACCAAAUAUAUAAUAGUUGUUAGUAAUGUAACUCAA
Long non-coding RNA from Homarus americanus (American lobster), 1106 nucleotides. RefSeq lists it as uncharacterized. The record is from RefSeq and is a predicted model, not a curated record. NCBI's taxonomy places the organism in Eukaryota, Metazoa, Arthropoda, Malacostraca, Decapoda, Nephropidae. The transcript is spliced from 3 exons.